GGAGACAGAGGCCCAGGCCUAGAACGGAGAGGACCUUCGAAAGGGCUGCCCCCAGCAAAGGCCCAUAACUGUUUCCGCCUCCUGGCUCCCAGCAGCCUCGGAACCAGAACCGAUCCACCAGAGGGGUGUGUCAGACCACUGGUGGGGACAACCUCCUCCGUGUUCCAGCCGCUCCUUCCUUCCCGACCUGCGGUGCCAGUCAUCGAACCUCCAGAAUAACCUCAGGAAGGUUUCCAGCCACCAGAUACCUACCCUGGGGCCGCUGAGGAGAGAUUGCACUCAGUUCACCGAGGCCAGAAAGGCCAACAUUCCCUGCGGCCUACAGGCCCCCAAGCUCAAGGCCGCGCUCAACCGCAGCUCCACCGCGCUCCGAGGGGAGGCAGCCGCGGGGCACAACAGGCGGUGUAGCCCCUUCCGAGUGCGAUUUGCUGACGAGACCCUACAGGACACAGCGUUCCGCUACUGGGAGCGGAGAUGUGCACGU
Myotis davidii is the source of this 484-nucleotide long non-coding RNA. RefSeq lists it as uncharacterized. The transcript is spliced from 3 exons. The record is from RefSeq and is a predicted model, not a curated record. NCBI's taxonomy places the organism in Eukaryota, Metazoa, Chordata, Mammalia, Chiroptera, Vespertilionidae.